GAUGAACGCUGGCGGCGUGCUUAACACAUGCAAGUCGAACGAAGCGCUUGGAUGGAAUUCUUCGGAAGGAAGCUCAAGUGACUGAGUGGCGGACGGGUGAGUAACGCGUGGGUAACCUGCCUCAUACAGGGGGAUAACAGUUAGAAAUGACUGCUAAUACCGCAUAAGCACACGUGAUCGCAUGAUCGAGUGUGAAAAACUCCGGUGGUAUGAGAUGGACCCGCGUCUGAUUAGCUAGUUGGUGGGGUAAUGGCCCACCAAGGCGACGAUCAGUAGCCGGCCUGAGAGGGUGAACGGCCACAUUGGGACUGAGACACGGCCCAAACUCCUACGGGAGGCAGCAGUGGGGAAUAUUGCACAAUGGGGGAAACCCUGAUGCAGCGACGCCGCGUGAAGGAUGAAGUAUUUCGGUAUGUAAACUUCUAUCAGCAGGGAAGAAAAUGACGGUA
RNAcentral lists this ribosomal RNA (449 nucleotides) under uncultured bacterium. RNAcentral describes it as "bacterial SSU rRNA". It matches the Rfam family "Bacterial small subunit ribosomal RNA", at positions 28 to 477 of the family's 1533-position model. The record is from RNAcentral.